This 336-nucleotide unclassified non-coding RNA is filed under the name soil metagenome. RNAcentral's name for it is "partial contains 5.8S ribosomal RNA, internal transcribed spacer 2, and large subunit ribosomal RNA". The stretch from base 1 to 120 matches the Rfam family "5.8S ribosomal RNA", at positions 35 to 154 of the family's 154-position model. The record is from RNAcentral.
GAUGAAGAACGUAGCGAAAUGCGAUAAGUAAUGUGAAUUGCAGAAUUCAGUGAAUCAUCGAAUCUUUGAACGCACAUUGCGCCCGCCAGUAUUCUGGCGGGUAUGCCUGUUCGAGCGUCAUUUCAACCAUCAAGCCCCAGGCUUGUGUUGGGGACCUGCGGCUGCCGCAGGCCCUGAAAACCAGUGGCGGGCUCGCUGUCACACCGGGCGUAGUAGAUUUUAUCUCGCUCUGGGCGUGCUGCGGGUUCCGGCCGUUAAAAAACCCUUUUAACCCAAGGUUGACCUCGGAUCAGGUAGGAAUAUCCGCUGAACUUAAGCAUAUCAAUAAGCGGAGGA